AUGGCCUCUUCUAGUGUGUCUGAAGAUAAGCUAAGCAUAAUCAUAUACACAAAAUAAACAAAUCUUAAAAAGAGACUGUGAGAUAUAAAGGUGUAUAUGCUACUAUUUUAACUUUGCUACUAUUCACAACGACCUGAGUUUGAUUCUGUAAGAGAACUACAUUACCGCCACCCUCCAACAUACAAAUCAUUUAAAAGGCUAGGACUGGUGGGACACAUCUUUAAUCCCAGCACCCCAGAGGCAGAGACAGGUGGAUCUCUGUGAGUUUAAGGCCAGCAAAAGUCUACAUAGACCCCUUCCUGCCCAAAAGGGCCUAAAAAGUAGUUUCUUUGAUUGAGCAUGUGGUUAAUACACACACACUCACACUUUCCUGAGUUUGGAUAGAUGUCCCUCAGUUUAGGAACAACUUACAUCCCAAUAAACCAAUCCACCAGAAAACGCCGAGUUGAGAAACAGCACAGCGUAGCAACACAGGCACCAAGGUGAGUGCAGGGACAUUCAGUCUGAUCCUUGUGACUGACUGGGAGCCUGUUUUAUGUUUCUCCACCUCCCAAGAUCUCCCAAGCAGAUCUUUGAGUUCAAGGCCAGCCAGGGCUACACAGAGAAGCCCCGUCUUGAAAAACCAAACCACCAACAUCAAAAAAGAUAAGCUUGUAAGUCCCUCACAAAUCAGAAGCAGCAAAAUAGAAAGGAUGCUUUCAUUCAACAUGAUGGUGAAGACAAGACCCUUCUGACUUACACAUGGCACAAGAAGAAUAUAUUGAUGUAUUUACAGACAGGGUCUAUGUGGUUCUGGCUAUCUGGGCACGAACCCUGUAGAUCAGCACAGCCUCCUACUCACAGAGAUCCACCUUGCUCUGCCUCCAAGUGCUGGGCUUAUCAUACCAUCCGUGGACCACCUGUUUUAUAUCUUACUUUGAUCUUUACUAGUUGGGUGCUUUGUAACCAUUUAAAGGAGUAAAUUUAAUGAUUUAUUUUUAUUUGGUGUUUUGCCUUCAUGUGUGUGAAUGUAAGGGUACUGGAUCCUCAGGAACUGGAGUUGUAGGCCAUUGUGAGCUGCCAUGUAGGUGCUAGGACUUGAACCAAGGGUUCUCUGGAAGAGUAGCCUUAACUACUUAACGACUACACAAUCUCUUGAGCACCCAAUAACCUACUUCUUAGGCUAUUGAGAGCACUAAUGUAACUUGCAAAGUACUAAGUUACAUAAUAGGUACUUGACAAAGAUAGCUGUUCUAAUUUCCAGAAGGGGUGUGAGACAUCUACCAAAUUUGGGGGCUUAGGGGCAAAAUCCAUCAAUCUUGAUUGUCGGACAAGAUGGAAAUUAAUCAAAACUAAAAACUAUGCUGGGUGUGGUGGUGCACACCUUUAAUCCCAGCAUGCCCAGGCUCUGCCCAAGAUGACAUCAGAGUCUCCUACCUGCCUACUGAAGACAGUCACUUCUUGGCUGCUUUCAGAUCAAGAAUAUACAACUCUUGGCUCCUCCAGGACCAAGUCUGCCUGCAUGCUGCUAUGCUUUCCACCAUGAUGAUAACAGACCAAACUUCCGAAACUGUAAGCCAGCCCCAGUGUUUGCCUUUCUAAGAGUUCCUUGGGUCACAGUGUCUCAUCAGAGGAAAUAAAACCCUAACACUGUGGAAGAGGAAGCUGAUUUCAGAGAAAAGGUCAUGGCUUAAAGAACUUAACAAAAAUCAAACAGUU
RNAcentral lists this long non-coding RNA (1698 nucleotides) under Mus musculus (house mouse). RNAcentral's name for it is "long non-coding RNA chr4:127043987-127045685". Lineage: Eukaryota; Metazoa; Chordata; Mammalia; Rodentia; Muridae. The record is from RNAcentral.